CAGCCGCCACGGUAAUACGGAGGGAGCUAGCGUUGUUCGGAAUUACUGGGCGUAAAGCGCACGUAGGCGGAUAUUUAAGUCAGGGGUGAAAUCCCGCAGCUCAACUGCGGAACUGCCUUUGAUACUGGGUAUCUUGAGUAUGGAAGAGGUUAGUGGAAUUGCGAGUGUAGAGGUGAAAUUCGUAGAUAUUCGCAGGAACACCAGUGGCGAAGGCGGCUAACUGGUCCAUAACUGACGCUGAGGUGCGAAAGCGUGGGGAGCAAACAGGAUUAGAUACCCCGGUAGUCCCUGUCUCUUAUAC
Molecule: ribosomal RNA, 301 nt
Filed under: uncultured bacterium
Lineage: Bacteria
Description: partial 16S ribosomal RNA
Rfam family: Bacterial small subunit ribosomal RNA
Source: RNAcentral